AUACGUAGGUGGCAAGCGUUGUCCGGAAUUACUGGGUGUAAAGGGCGUGUAGGCGGGUUGUCAAGUCAGAUGUGAAAUUCCGUGGCUCAACUGCGGAGCUGCAUCUGAAACUGAUGAUCUUGAGUACUGGAGAGGGAAGCGGAAUUCCUAGUGUAGCGGUGAAAUGCGUAGAUAUUAGGAGGAACACCAGUGGCGAAGGCGGCUUUCUGGACAGUAACUGACGCUGAGGCGCGAAAGCGUGGGGAGC
RNAcentral lists this ribosomal RNA (247 nucleotides) under uncultured bacterium. RNAcentral's name for it is "partial 16S ribosomal RNA". It matches the Rfam family "Bacterial small subunit ribosomal RNA", at positions 523 to 769 of the family's 1533-position model. The record is from RNAcentral.